This 1577-nucleotide ribosomal RNA is filed under the name human gut metagenome. Its description in RNAcentral is "bacterial LSU rRNA". It matches the Rfam family "Bacterial large subunit ribosomal RNA", at positions 1326 to 2925 of the family's 2925-position model. The record is from RNAcentral.
AAUCCUCUAGGCCGAAUAUCCAAGGUUUCCAGGGUAAAGCUGAUCUGCCCUGGGUAAGUCGGGGCCUAAGGCGAGGACGAGAGUCGUAGCCGAUGGACAACAGGUUGAGAUUCCUGUACUGCAGUAAGACAGAACUGUGGGGACACGUGUGGAGAGCAUAGGCGCGGAAUGGAAAGCCGCGUGCAAGCGAGGUAGGAGUCCUGUAGGAAAAACCGCAGGGCAAUCCGAAGGCGUGAUGCGGACCGAAAUCUAGUAGGGAAGUAUGUGAGCCAUGCGUCAAGAAAAGCCGCUAUUGUUCUUAUUGUACCCGUACCGUAAACCGACACAGGUGGAUGAGGAGAGAAUCCUAAGGCCGGCGGAAGAAGCAUUGUCAAGGAACUCGGCAAAAUGACCCCGUAACUUCGGGAGAAGGGGUGCCUGCGAGAGCAGGCCGCAGAGAAUAGGCUCAAGCAACUGUUUAGCAAAAACACAGGUCUAUGCGAAACCGAAAGGUGAGGUAUAUGGGCUGACGCCUGCCCGGUGCUGGAAGGUUAAGAGGAGAGGUUAGCGCAAGCGAAGCUUUGAAUUUAAGCCCCAGUAAACGGCGGCCGUAACUAUAACGGUCCUAAGGUAGCGAAAUUCCUUGUCGGGUAAGUUCCGACCCGCACGAAAGGCGUAAUGAUUUGAGCGCUGUCUCGACAAUGCAUCCGGUGAAAUUGAAGUACCAGUGAAGAUGCUGGUUACCUGCGCCAGGACGGAAAGACCCCAUGGAGCUUUACUCCAGCUUGAUACUGGGAUUCGAUAUUGUAUGUACAGGAUAGGUGGGAGGCGAAGAAGCAUUGACGCCAGUUGAUGCGGAGCCGCUGUUGGGAUACCACCCUUGCAGUAUUGGAUUUCUAACCAGCAGCCGUGACCCGGCUGGGGGACAAUGUCAGGUGGGGAGUUUGACUGGGGCGGUCGCCUCCGAAAGGGUAUCGGAGGCGCUCAAAGGUUCCCUCAGAAUGGUUGGAAACCAUUCGAAGAGUGCAAAGGCAGAAGGGAGCUUGACUGCGACACCGACGGGUGGAGCAGGUACGAAAGUAGGACUUAGUGAUCCGGUGGUAUAAAGUGGGAUUGCCAUCGCUCAACGGAUAAAAGCUACCCUGGGGAUAACAGGCUUAUCACUCCCAAGAGUUCACAUCGACGGAGUGGUUUGGCACCUCGAUGUCGGCUCAUCGCAUCCUGGGGCUGUAGUAGGUCCCAAGGGUUGGGCUGUUCGCCCAUUAAAGCGGUACGCGAGCUGGGUUCAGAACGUCGUGAGACAGUUCGGUCCCUAUCCGGCGUGGGCGUAGGAUAUCUGAGAGGAGCUGUCCUUAGUACGAGAGGACCGGGAUGGACGGACCGCUGGUGGACCGGUUGGCUUGCCAAGGCCAUGGCCGGGUAGCCAAGUCCGGAAGGGAUAAACGCUGAAGGCAUCUAAGCGUGAAGCCCCCCUCAAGAUGAGAUAUCCCAUUCUUAGUGAAGUAAACCCCCUUGAAGACGACGAGGUAGAUAGGGCAGAGGUGGAAGUGUGGUAACACAUGGAGCUGACUGUUACUAAUCGGGUGAGGGCUUGACCA